UUGUUAUUAUUAGAAUAUUAAUUUUAUGUUUUAUUAAUAAAAAUAAUUUAUAUUUAAGUAUAUUGAAUAAAUAAUUUUUUCUAUAAUGUAAGUAUCGAUAGAGAAUGUCAAUAAUAAAUUUAUAAGUAGUUUAAUUAAUAUACCUUUUGUAUCAGGGUUUAUCAAAAUUGAUUUAUAACAAAACUUUCCCGAAUUUAUUAGAAAGAGAUUAUAGUGUUUUUAUAUGUUACAAAAUAUUCUAAAACUUUAAUUUUGUAAUGAAAUAUUUUCAGAAAUAGUAUAUCUGGUUCUUUAAAAGUUAGAUUUAAUCUAAACUUUAUAAAGUCUUGACAAAAUUUUAUUUGUCAAAAUUGUUAAAGGAAAUUCAUAUAGGGUUUAGCUUGUAUGACAAUUUAUAAGCUAUUUUAUUUAAUUUAAGUAGGAUUAGUAAUGUCUUUCAUAUAUUUUGUAAUAAUAAUUUUUGUUUAUUUUUUAAUUUAUAAAGUUUUAAGGGUUUAUUGAAGUUUUUUGUUAAAUGUAUUAAUAAAAGUAAUAAUGGUAAAAUUAGUAUAAUAAUUAAAACAUAGGAAUUCGGCAAAUAUUUUCUUUACCUGUUUAACAAAAACAUGUCCUUUAGGUUUUAUUUAAGGUCUGGCCUGCUCAAUGAAAUUUAAAUAGCCGCAGUAUCUUAACUGUGCGAAGGUAGCAUAAUCAUUUGUCUUUUAAUUAAAGACUGGAAUGAAUGGUAUAAUAAAAGGAAAUCUUUCUUUAUUUUAAUGAAAACUUAACUUUUAAGUCAAAAGGCUUAAAUUUUAGUGAGGGACGAGAAGACCCUUUAGAACUUUAAAUUAAAUUUUUAUUUUAUAUUUAGUUUAUAUUGUGGAAUAGAUUAGAUAUUUUUUGUUGGGGUGACAUUAAAGAUUUUUUAACCUUUAAAAUUAAAACUUAAAUGGGAGUUUAAUUGAUCCAAAAUUUUUGAUUAAAAGAUUAAGUUACCUAAGGGAUAACAGCGUAAUUUUAUUGGAGAGGGUCUUAUCAAUAAUAGAGUUUGCGACCUCGAUGUUGGAUUAAAAUAAGUUUAUGGUGUAGUAAUUGUAUUCCUAGGUCUGUUCGACUUUUAAAUUUUUACAUGAUCUGAGUUCAAACCGGCGUAAGCCAGGUUGGUUUCUAUCUUUACUUUAAUUAAUUAUAUUAGUACGAAAGGACCAUAUAAAGGGAUUUUAUCUUAAGAAUUGAAUACUAGU
Molecule: ribosomal RNA, 1223 nt
Filed under: Myrmedobia distinguenda
Lineage: Eukaryota; Metazoa; Arthropoda; Insecta; Hemiptera; Microphysidae
Description: 16S ribosomal RNA
Rfam family: Archaeal large subunit ribosomal RNA (bases 795-1156)
Source: RNAcentral